Molecule: ribosomal RNA, 376 nt
Filed under: uncultured bacterium
Lineage: Bacteria
Description: bacterial SSU rRNA
Rfam family: Bacterial small subunit ribosomal RNA
Source: RNAcentral
AUACGGAGGAUGCGAGCGUUAUCCGGAUUUAUUGGGUUUAAAGGGUGCGCAGGCGGCCUGUAAAGUCUUCGGUGAAACUGCGGGGCUCAACCCCGCCGAGCCGAGGAAACUUGCGGGCUAGAGUUCGGCAGAGGCAUGCGGAACGCGCGGUGUAGCGGUGAAAUGCAUAGAUAUCGCGCAGAACUCCGAUUGCGAAGGCAGCGUGCCAUGCCGCGACAGACGCUGAGGCACGAAAGCGCGGGGAUCGAACAGGAUUAGAUACCCUGGUAGUCCGCGCAGUAAACGAUGAGCGCCAGAUAUGCGGACCGAUUGGGGACUGCGUGUCACAGCGAAAGCGUUAAGCGCUCCACCUGGGGAGUACGCCGGCAACGGUGAA